This 549-nucleotide ribosomal RNA is filed under the name uncultured bacterium. RNAcentral's name for it is "bacterial SSU rRNA". It matches the Rfam family "Bacterial small subunit ribosomal RNA", at positions 777 to 1307 of the family's 1533-position model. The record is from RNAcentral.
AAUAGAUACCCUGGUAGUCCUGGCCCUAAACGAUGUCCACUAGAUCGUGGCACCUCUGACGGUGUCAUGGUCGGAGCAAAAGUGUUAAGUGGACCGCCUGGGAAGUACGGUCGCAAGGCUAAAACUCAAAGGAAUUGACGGGGGGCUCACACAAGCGGUGGAGCAUGUGGUUUUAAUUCGAAGCAACGCGCGGAACCUUACCUGGGCUUGACAUGCCUGGAUUAUCCCCCAUGAAAGUGGGGUACACCCCCGGCAAGGGGCGGAACAGGUACAGGUGCUGCAUGGCUGUCGUCAGCUCGUGUCGUGAGAUGUCGGGUUAAGUCCCUUAACGAGCGAAACCUUUGCCCUUAGUUACCAGCGGGUUAUGCCGGGGACUCUAAGGGGACUGCCGGUGUCAAACCGGAGGAAGGUGGAGAUGACGUCAAGUCCUCAUGGCCUUUAUGCCCAGGGCCACACGACGUGCUACAAUGGGAUGCACAGAGCGAACCGAGGCCGCGAGGCGGAGGAAAUCGCAUAAACUCACUCCCCCGAGUUCAGAGUCGGAGGCUG